GAUGAAGAACGUAGUGAAAUGCGAUAAGUAAUGUGAAUUGCAGAAUUCAGUGAAUCAUCGAAUCUUUGAACGCACAUUGCGCCCCUUGGUAUUCCGAGGGGCAUGCCUGUUCGAGCGUCAUUAUAACCCUCAAGCUCAGCUUGGUGUUGGGGCCUGCUGCACUGGCAGCCCUUAAAAUCAGUGGGGGCGCCAUCUGGCUCUAAGCGUAGUAAUUCUUCUCGCUAUGGAGUCCUGGUGGAUGCUUGCCAUCAACCCCCAAUUUUUCUAUGGUUGACCUCGGAUCAGGUAGGGAUACCCGCUGAACUUAAGCAUAUCAAUAAGCGGAGGA
This 328-nucleotide unclassified non-coding RNA is filed under the name soil metagenome. RNAcentral's name for it is "partial contains 5.8S ribosomal RNA, internal transcribed spacer 2, and large subunit ribosomal RNA". The stretch from base 1 to 120 matches the Rfam family "5.8S ribosomal RNA", at positions 35 to 154 of the family's 154-position model. The record is from RNAcentral.